AACGGAACGGAACGUAUUUGACAGCGUCUGUUUCCUGUCGAAUGUCAAUAGAAUGUCUUUGCUUGGCAGACGCUCUGUGAUGGCAGAUUCAACGUCUUAUUGUGAUUGUUUUGCGAUUGUUUUCAGAUAUUGUUGACCCCAGCUUAUCUUUACGGACUGGCACCUUCUACCACACGAUUUUACCUUGCUAAUAAUACUUGACUGUUUUGCGUUGUGAAUAAGGCGGCCAACCGUCCCGUAUUCUGCGGGACCGUCCCGUAAUGCUAGAUGUAAUCCCGCUUUGAAAGAAUUAAUAAAAUAGUCCCGUAAAACGUUAGAUGCGUCCCGCGAGUCCCGCAUACCUAUUUCUCUACUACACGACACAAUCACACGCGCACUAACAACAGCGCGAAUAAAUGAAGAUAACUUGUUUGACGAAUUGCCUCUGGAUACACUCAUUUGUCAACCAUGCUUCUUAUUAUUGAAUGAUGAGGCUGGUGAACAUGAGAGACUACUGGGGCAUAACAUGGUUUGCCUUGGUUGUGGAAAAUCGCUUAGAAAAAUAAGACACCAUAAUGUCAGUAUGGAGAGUCCAUCCUUUGCUGACUGUCCUAAUAUCACAAAAUACUAUUAAUGUGCCCUCAAGAAACAACUAUGUUUGUCAUGCGUGCUGGAUGCGGGCAAAUGGACAGGCAGGGCAGGACUUAUCACGAAACUUGCAGGAAUUGGGUUCGGACAACGAGCCGGAAUCAGCUUCAGACAAUGUGCAGGGAUUGGCUUCCGACAACAAUGCAGCAAUCCCUAAUGUUCAAGUGGUUAGCCCACCGGAGCCACCACCAUUACCGCCUGUUUUAAAUAGGCCGUUUCGAAGGGAAAGUACUUUCACAUUAUUACCCAAGUAUAAGCGAGCUUCAAUCUCAUCUGUUCACUGUAUAUUUCAACAAUGCAGAAACAGAAUGUUACAUUUAGUCCCUCUUUUCCUUAAAAGAAUAUUAUUGCAAGAGCAUAGUUUCUAUAUUUCUAUUCCUCGCAGCUGUAGGGUGUGUGAAACACAUUUGUAUAGCGAUCAGUGGCAUUUAUUACUCAAAUGGAUGGGACACAUUCUACAUUUAGUGCUGUCCAGGUAGAAGACAUAAUUAAUAUCAUGAAGUCAAAAGCUAUUUUUUUGGAUUUCGAAAAUGUCCUUUAGUACGAGAGAUGACGACCAAAACCAUGUCUCAUA
Spodoptera litura is the source of this 1201-nucleotide non-coding RNA. Lineage: Eukaryota; Metazoa; Arthropoda; Insecta; Lepidoptera; Noctuidae. The record is from RefSeq and is a predicted model, not a curated record.